This 404-nucleotide ribosomal RNA is filed under the name uncultured bacterium. RNAcentral describes it as "bacterial SSU rRNA". It matches the Rfam family "Bacterial small subunit ribosomal RNA", at positions 29 to 429 of the family's 1533-position model. The record is from RNAcentral.
AUUGAACGCUGGCGGCAUGCCUAACACAUGCAAGUCGAACGGCAGCACAGCAGUAGCAAUACUGUGGGUGGCGAGUGGCGGACGGGUGAGGAAUACGUCGGAAUCUGCCCAGUCGUGGGGGAUAACUAGCCGAAAGGUUAGCUAAUACCGCAUACGACCGAGAGGUGAAAGCGGGGGACCGCAAGGCCUCGCGCGAUUGGAUGAGCCGACGUCGGAUUAGCUAGUUGGCGGGUAAAGGCCCACCAAGGCGACGAUCCAUAGCUGGUCUGAGAGGAUGAUCAGCCACACUGGAACUGAGACACGGUCCAGACUCCUACGGGAGGCAGCAGUGGGGAAUAUUGGACAAUGGGCGCAAGCCUGAUCCAGCAAUGCCGCGUGUGGUGAAGAAGGCCUUCGGUUGUAAG